GCGGGCGGCGAGAGCUGCUCCGAGGCGGGGGCCUCGGGCAGGUCGCUCUCCACGCAGUACACGGAGCAGAAGACUUGUCUCUUGGCGAGGGACGGGCGCCGCUGACCCAGCACGUCCAGGACCAGUCCGUCGGCGGCCCCCACGCGGGUCCUGGGCUCCAGCUCUUCGCCGGGGGGCGCCUCCUGCUGUUCAUCCCCUCCCUCUUUUCGAUCCCCAGCUUCCUCCUCUUCCUCCUCCAGCUCCAACUGCAGUGGCAAGGUCUGGGGAUUGAGAGGCCCGGCAUGACUAAGAGAUAUCGUGAAAUUACAACUCAACAAUGAAUUACAGCACAGGCUUUUCACAACUAAGAGACUGUCCAUCAUGGUGCCAGUUUUUCUCAAAAUGGCAUGUGUGCAUGAAAUUCUACAGGCAUAUGGGGUCGUGAUCUGCUAAUCUCCAGUUAUUAUAACUACUUUGAAAAGGGACUUUCCAGCUAUCAGUACACUAUCUCACAAUUACCCUUGAACCAGAAGACAAUGAAUGAUUUGCUAAACAGAUGGCAUAGUCUAUGACAUGCAUCAUAUGUGUGAGCAAUCACAGAAGACUCCUUCCUGUUGCCUUGUGAAGAAGGCUCCUGCUUCCCCUUCACCUUCUGCGCGAUUGUAAGUUUCCUGAGGCCUCCUAGCCAUGCUUCUUGUUCACUCUGCGGAACUGUCCUGAGCUGAAAAGAAUAUGAGAAAUCGGAUUUUACGACAUACCAAAUUAUGAUUGUAUGUCCCAGAAAUUCACUUAGAAGCUAAUAGAAAAAAUGAAACCAAAGCCUUUUGGUGAACUAUGACUUGGAAUCCUCCAGGCUUUGGCUUCCAUCACACUCCAUGAACUUGAUGCACAUAAUUUAAUGUAGGCCUCCACCCAAUAUCAUCAGUUCUCUUGCAUGUUGAACCCCCAGUUUCCUGGAUCUGACCAACAUGACCUUAAUGUUCCUAUCAGCUCGACUAAACUUUAAAGAGAUUUCUUCCUCAAUAUGGGCCUCUAACUUCCCUUUUCUUAGAGCAUUUACUUUAGAAAUUUUGCAAUUAUCAAUUUUUUCUCCCUAUUUUUGAGAUGUAAAUUUUCUACAACUCAGGAAUGUCUUUCUCAAGGACAUGAGAGAUAUCCCUUUGAAAUGUAAUUGUGAAAAAUGAUAGCACCUCUAUUUCAAUCUGUGUAGGAGAGUAGGAGCCUAACUCAGAAACUGCUGAUGCUGACCUGUGCCUCAAGAGGCUUGCCUGUUUGGGGGAGAAGCCUGAUGUGGAGACCAUUGGAAGAGGCUAAGGCAAGCUACCUGUUCCUUAAACAGAUUGUUCAACCUAUUCCAGUUUUUGGUCCUCUACCUCACACAUUCCUUCCACUUCCAAAUCCUGUUGUUAGAGGAUGUUACCUGCCAAAUUUGUACUUUGGAAUCCUCCUCUGCAUGUUCAUAAGUUUUUGGGUUUUCCUUUCUGCUCACUUGCCAAUCCUCUAUCUACUUUCAAUCUUCUAAAAAUUGCUGAAACUUCUUGUCUCACUGUUAAUUCUUUAACAUCAAUUUGUUGGUAUUUUAGGAUAAAAUAUAAGUAAGUGUAUAUCUUCAACCAGCUAUCAUUAAAUGGAAAAUUUCUGGUAUUAUUUUAUACUUUCAUCUAUUUUCCUGUAGACAUUUAAACAAGAAGUCUCUGUGUGUAUGUGCACAUAUUCAAUGUUUUAACUACAAAAUAUAAAUUUCUUCUUGUAAAACAGACAACAUAAGGGUUUUCUUGAAGUCCCCUUUUAAAUAUAACAGGAAUUCCUCAGUGUGAUCUGUGCCAUGUAUAUCAGCAGGUUAUUUAAUUCCUGUAUGCUUUGUAAUUUUCAGCUCAAAAUUAUGACUUUUGACACAAACCACAAGUCUCAAUGUCACAAAAUAAGGUAGAAAACCACAAACAAGCUGGGCAUGGUGGCUCAUGCCAUAUAAUCCCAGCACUUUGGGGGGGCCGAGGCAGGCGGAUCACAAGGUCAGGAGAUCAAGACCAUCCUGGCU
Homo sapiens (human) is the source of this 2017-nucleotide long non-coding RNA. Ensembl annotates it as RNF217 antisense RNA 1 (head to head). Its record names the gene RNF217-AS1. NCBI's taxonomy places the organism in Eukaryota, Metazoa, Chordata, Mammalia, Primates, Hominidae. The record is from Ensembl.